This 427-nucleotide ribosomal RNA is filed under the name uncultured bacterium. RNAcentral's name for it is "bacterial SSU rRNA". It matches the Rfam family "Bacterial small subunit ribosomal RNA", at positions 355 to 774 of the family's 1533-position model. The record is from RNAcentral.
UGGGGAAUUUUGGACAAUGGGCGAAAGCCUGAUCCAGCAAUGCCGCGUGUGUGAAGAAGGCCUUCGGGUUGUAGAGCACUUUUGUCCGGAAAGAAAUCCUCUGGGUUAAUACCUCGGGGGGAUGACGGUACCGGAAGAAUAAGCACCGGCUAACUACGUGCCAGCAGCCGCGGUAAUACGUAGGGUGCAAGCGUUAAUCGGAAUUACUGGGCGUAAAGCGUGCGCAGGCGGUUUUGUAAGACGGAUGUGAAAUCCCCGGGCUUAACCUGGGAACAGCAGUCGUGACUGCAAGGCUCGAGUAUGGCAGAGNGGGGUAGAAUUCCACGUGUAGCAGUGAAAUGCGUAGAGAUGUGGAGGAAUACCGAUGGCGAAGGCAGCCCCCUGGGCCAAUACUGACGCUCAUGCACGAAAGCGUGGGGAGCAAACA